CCACCGCCCAGGCUGUCACGAGACCCAGCCAGCUGAUUUCAACCCUUCCGCCUUUGGCCCCGCCCUCCCCCUUCCGACUGUUCUUUCCCUAAAAUUUUGCGUUCCGCCGGCCCGCCCCCUAGCAGUUACACAUGCGCAGAGUAACGACGCCGACCGUGGGAUCUGGAUUCCACGCUGCGCGUGAGGGGGCCGGCGCCUCGAGAACACAGAGUUGACUUGCUCAAUUCAUGUGUGAAUGUUAACAAUGCAAAAAAGACUUAGAUGCAUGGAAUUUCGACAGUCACAAUAUAUUUGAAAAAUGGUGAUCCAAAACUUGACCAUGAAGAAGUUCUUAGAAUGACAAUGACUCAUUCACGCCUAAAUCAAGUUGAAGGUGGCAAUGUGCCACCUACAAGUACUACAUCGUCAACCUCCUCUCAAAUGGGCUGACCAUAUCAGAGAUGACAAAAGUCUGGCUGAUGAAAUAUAAGCGGACUCUGUUGGUGUGGGCUACCAGAUUCAGCUAGUAGGUAUCCUUUUUUCCCCACCCUUUAUGUUGUUUUUUUGUGUGUGUGUGUGCCCAGAGCAUAGUUGUGAUGGCUAGAGCUGCUUGUCUCUGGACAUCUGCCUCAUUUCUGAAUUCAUUACUCAAUGAUGUUAUAUUUUCUAAGGGCUGGGCUAUUGAGUGUCACUGUGUUAUUCAUGCAAAUAAAAAGAAAUUAAUAGAGUAUUACUAUUUCAGCAAAAUAUAGUAAGAGGCUACCAAUAAAAAUAGCCACAUUAAUGAGCUUUACAGAACAAAGUGUGAUUUUGUUUGGUAUUCCUUUGAAUUUCUUCACCAGAGUACAGCACAUACUGGAAUCUCUAAAUACUACCUAAAUAAUAAAUGUUUAAAGUAGAACAAAAAGAAAAUAUUGUACUAUACUAGAAAGAAACAGAGGUUUAGUUACAGCAAGUAAGGUAUUACUUUUUUUCUUGUUUAUAACUGUCUUCUGAAAAUGUAUUUACUUACUAGGGAACAUAUUUUUUUCUCUCUUUGCUCUACCUUACAAAUAGUCAAAUCCCAGUUCUACUUUAUUAGCCACUUAACUUUUGAGCCUCAAUUUCUUUAUCAAUGAGAUGAAGGUAAUAAUACAUGUCAACAACAGUUGUUUUGAUAUUAUAUAAGAAUGAAGAAAUGCUAUGCUAUCUAAUAUUGAUGAACCAAUAUUAUUUAAUAUUAUAAAUAUAUAUAAUAGAAAAGUAAAACUCAUAAACUCUAAAAAAUGGGAUAAGGGAGAGAGAGACAGUCUAAAUGUACCAAUUAUUUAUCUAAUAGUAGGGAGUGAAUUAAUACUUCCCCAGAUUGUAAAAACCAAGAAUGAAGGGCAGAAGGAAAAUAACGUUUAUGGAUCGUUUAGUAAGCACCACUGAUUCUCCAUAAGUGUUAACUUUCUCACUGCCUUAUAUACCCUUUGUUUUCUUCCUCUGUAAUUCUAGAACCAGAUAAUGCAAUAUUUGGAGCAGCACUGUAUUAAGUAAGCAUUUAGGGCCCCAGCAAAGCAAGGACCAUCAAGAUGAAAUAAACUUGAAAAGGAUUUGCUAAUUAAUGCUUUUAUUAAAAGCAUCAAAAUAAUAAUCAUGGUGGAGAAAUUAGAACUUUGUGUUUCCUUCACUAAUUUCGUGAGUACAGAAUUGAGGACCUCUAGCCAGCUCUGAAUUGGAGAGAUUAAAAAAAAAUCUGUGAAAAUAUGGAACGAGAGGCUUUAUAUAACUAUGAUGAAAACAGGAAUUGAAGAUAGCCCUGAGAGAUCAAAGGAGAGUUAUAAGAGAGGGCUUUGCUGGACACUGAAAGUUUACCACGCACCCUGCUCUGUUAGAACAGCCUGUUGUUACCUGUUGCUAAGCCCAUCUGUACAGUUGAAGAUACUCCCCAAAGUUCAGAGAGCUAAUGGGAUUUGUCCAAAGCCUCAUAGUCAAGUAAGUGCCAGAGUUAGAAUUUGAACCCAAAUCCACUUGGUUCCAUGGCCCAGCAUUCUCUGAGAGCAAUAACUGACUGCUGUUUUUAUUUAUAAGUCAAAUGAUACUCUGUGAGUACAUGGCAUAAACUGACUGAGAUCUUCUUUUGGUCCUUUCUCUGGGAGUUUUAAGAUUUUAUGUCGUGACUAGAACAUAAACUGUGUAGUGGUUAUUAUUACUAUCAGUGGGUAGAGGAAAAGAUAUGUACAUGUGGAGGUCACAGAUAGUCUUAGGGGGAUUACAAAGGUGAUAAAUAGUGAGAAUUUCCACUGGAGAAAAAAUGUUUAUGUUAAUAAUUAUUUAGAAAUGUUGUAGUUAUAUUUUUCCUGAGAUUCAUUAUCAUUUCCACUCUCAGGAUUUUCCAACAUGUAGUCUUAUUUAUAGACUUAGUUAUAUCAG
This is a non-coding RNA of Chlorocebus sabaeus (green monkey), 2376 nucleotides long. NCBI's taxonomy places the organism in Eukaryota, Metazoa, Chordata, Mammalia, Primates, Cercopithecidae. The record is from RefSeq and is a predicted model, not a curated record.